GCUGGUCCUCAAAUGGGGAAUGUGCACGCUCUGUUCGCACAUCCACUCACACCUGUGCACUCUCCAUAGUUCUGCAGCCUGGGGGCUCUGUUCCCCCUGCCGUGGUUCUAUGCAUUUACACACACACACUGUAGUAAAGUCUCAUGGAAUGUAUACCGCGUUUAACGCAAUACAAUACAACUUUCAGCAACGGAUCUCUUGGCUCUCGCAUCGAUGAAGAACGCAGCGAAAUGCGAUAAGUAAUGUGAAUUGCAGAAUUCAGUGAAUCAUCGAAUCUUUGAACGCACCUUGCGCCCUUUGGCUAUUCCGAAGGGCAUGCCUGUUUGAGUAUCAUGAACACCUCAACUCUCAUGGCUUGCCAUGAUGAGCUUGGACUUUUUGGGGGUCUUGCUGGCCUGUGGUCAGCUCCUCUCAAUGAAUUAGCUUGCAGUGUUUGGUGGCAUCACAGGUGUGAUAACUAUCUACGCUUGUGGUUUCCGCUAGUAACCUUCAGUGAUG
Molecule: ribosomal RNA, 498 nt
Filed under: uncultured Tomentella
Lineage: Eukaryota; Fungi; Basidiomycota; Agaricomycetes; Thelephorales; Thelephoraceae
Description: eukaryotic LSU rRNA
Rfam family: 5.8S ribosomal RNA (bases 179-333)
Source: RNAcentral